RNAcentral lists this ribosomal RNA (440 nucleotides) under uncultured bacterium. RNAcentral's name for it is "partial 16S ribosomal RNA". It matches the Rfam family "Bacterial small subunit ribosomal RNA", at positions 338 to 795 of the family's 1533-position model. The record is from RNAcentral.
CCUACGGGAGGCAGCAGUAGGGAAUCUUCCACAAUGGGCGAAAGCCUGAUGGAGCAACGCCGCGUGAGUGAAGAAGUAUUUCGGUACGUAAAGCUCUAUCAGCAGGAAAGAAAAUGACGGUGCCUGACUACGAAACCCCGGCUAACUACGUGCCAGCAGCCGCGGUAAUACGUAGGGGGCAAGCGUUAUCCGGAUUUACUGGGUGUAAAGGGAGCGUAGACGGCAGCGCAAGUCUGGAGUGAAAUGCCGGGGCCCAACCCCGGAACUGCUCUGGAAACUGUGAAGCUGGAGUGCAGGAGAGGGAAGCGGAAUUCCUGGUGUAGCGGUGAAAUGCGUAGAUAUCAGGAGGAACACCGGCGGCGAAGGCGGCUUACUGGACUGUAACUGACGUUGAGGCUCGAAGGCGUGGGGAGCAAACAGGAUUAGAUACCCUGGUAGUC